Molecule: ribosomal RNA, 460 nt
Filed under: uncultured bacterium
Lineage: Bacteria
Description: partial 16S ribosomal RNA
Rfam family: Bacterial small subunit ribosomal RNA
Source: RNAcentral
CCUACGGGUGGCUGCAGUGAGGAAUAUUGGUCAAUGAACGAGAGUCUGAACCAGCCAAGUAGCGUGAAGGAUGACUGCCCUAUGGGUUGUAAACUUCUUUUAUAUGGGAAUAAAACGUUCCACGUGUGGGAUUUUGUAUGUACCAUAUGAAUAAGGAUCGGCUAAAUCCGUGCCAGCAGCCGCGGUAAUACGGAGGAUCCGAGCGUUAUCCGGAUUUAUUGGGUUUAAAGGGAGCGUAGGUGGAUUGUUAAGUCAGUUGUGAAAGUUUGCGGCUCAACCGUAAAAUUGCAGUUGAAACUGGCAGUCUUGAGUACAGUAGAGGUGGGCGGAAUUCGUGGUGUAGCGGUGAAAUGCUUAGAUAUCACGAAGAACUCCGAUUGCGAAGGCAGUUCACUGGACUGCAACUGACACUGAGGCUCGAAAGUGUGGGUAUCAAACAGGAUUAGAUAACCCAGUAGUC